UUUGGCAUCUUUCUUUCAUCAUGCUCAGGGUCAGCGUUGUAAGAAGGAUGCCGCUAUGAA
This 60-nucleotide small RNA is filed under the name Vibrio cholerae O1 biovar El Tor str. N16961. Lineage: Bacteria; Pseudomonadati; Pseudomonadota; Gammaproteobacteria; Vibrionales; Vibrionaceae. The record is from RNAcentral.